RNAcentral lists this long non-coding RNA (1884 nucleotides) under Toxoplasma gondii VEG. Lineage: Eukaryota; Apicomplexa; Conoidasida; Eucoccidiorida; Sarcocystidae. The record is from RNAcentral.
GUUCUCCCGAAAAAAGACGCCUUUCUCCGUGAGGAAAGAGUUUCACAGAAGACUCGAACCACCUUCCAUCGCCUUCUUAAACACAAGGGGUCGAUUCAUUGCUCGUGACUUACCAUUCUUGUCUCUGCGCGUGUGGGAUACUCUUUCCGGGUUGCGCUGCACGCGAUUGUAUUUUCUGUGCACCGUAUUUCUCGUCGAGUUUGUAUUCGCUGUUAGAGACGGGUUUUUUUGUCGUUCCGAAAGGUCUUCUUCCGGCCGCUGUAUGCUCUGACAUCCGAAACGCGAAGUUUCUCCGCCGUUUUCCCCAGUCCUCCGUUCUGCUGGGUCGAGUUCUCUGGACUGCGUUUCUUCCCCGUUCUCCUGAUAACUCUGCGGCGUUUUCCUGGAGAAUUCCUUUCUUUCAAGGACAUAUAAGUGGAUUCUGUUGCGUCUGGCUCGCGCAUUUUCUUUUGUCUGCCAACAUGUUUGCCUUGCAGGAUGCCGAGCAGCUUCAGCUGCAGAGAAUGAUGCAGGAGAAGUUUGUGAAGAGGCUGCGAGCGUUUGCGGUUUUCGUUGCUGCUCUGCGUGCCCUUCCCAUCGUUGUUUCGAUCUUCUCGGAAACUCCAAGCGGACAGGCUUAACGAGCAGCAGUUUCCCUUCUCACUCGCGUGGAAAGACACGUUUUCUCCAAAUUUCCUGGACAAACAAGAUGUGGACAGUCGGACCUACUUCUUCCACGUUGCGGGCAAGACAAAGAGACGACGUUUGUUUUUCCACCCGCGGUCAAACUGACAAGGACUGUGUGAUGUUUUAGGCCACACGGGAGACUCUCCGAGAAGUCCACCGUCAGCAUUUUCCGUGCGAUUUGCAAAUCGGACGUAAGGAGUUUAGACUCUUGUUGACGGGGGAUGUGGUCGGCGAAAACACAGAUUUUUUCGUGUUGUUGGUUGGAGGCUCUUUUGAGACAGAAAAAAGUUGGAAAACUCACGGACGGAAAUCCGAGGAAAGUGAUUGCCUUAGUUUCGCGAACUUUUUUCUCCGGCUUAAAAAACAAGUUCUGUAGCUGCUGAACCCUUUGGUUUCCAGGACGAUAUGUUUCGCGCGAUGAAACAUAAGCAAAACCGAAAACGGUUCACUGAUCGCUAGCGGCGAAUUGCUCCUGACUUUUUCGCUUCGCGUUUUGACCCACAGAAAAUCUCGAAUGGGUUUUUGGUCAGGAAGUGCCGUUGUCACUUCCAGUCUCUGGGAACGGACAGAACACUCUGAACUGUCGGGAGUUCGACUUCAGUUAGUAGCUUCUCCCCUUUUCUUUGCCCACUGAAUGUCGCUACUGUCACCAUCAUAACAUUAUAGGGAAGUAGGACAGAACGAUAGCCUAGAGUACGAAAGUACGCAAGAAGAUUCCGUUUCGCAACAGGAAUCGUCGACGAAUUAAUAUUCGCCUGUGCGGCUCGAAUCUCAGCAACUCUGUAUGAGGGAAGGAUGCCUGAAAGGCAGACAACCGCCGGUUCUAGAUGGAACCGCUUUUGAAACACGAGGUACUCUGAAAAACGCCAUUCAGGUUCGAUAAACAUAAACAGCGGUGAUCCUAAGGAUCACAGAGACGCUGUACAAACACGGUAGCGCUGUGGUUUUGCUGAGAAGUUCAGGAGAAUUAAUGUAUCUCCUGUCUAGGCGCUGUGUCGCGCCAGGUUUCCCUGUACCUUCCUUGCCACACAAAGAACAAAGCUUCCUGACCUCCGACAAGCAACUUCCUCACGACGAAACCUUCCACGGAUUUCAAGAAAAACGCGUUUCUUUUACCUUUUCCCCGCAGCACUUCUCUUUCACUGGAAAAACCCCACGACUUGCACUGUUCGUUUGUCCCAGAGGCUCGACAAAGACAACCGACAAAUUUCACACUCC